Molecule: ribosomal RNA, 565 nt
Filed under: Debaryomyces hansenii
Lineage: Eukaryota; Fungi; Ascomycota; Pichiomycetes; Serinales; Debaryomycetaceae
Description: partial large subunit ribosomal RNA
Rfam family: Eukaryotic large subunit ribosomal RNA
Source: RNAcentral
ACCAACAGGGAUUGCCUUAGUAACGGCGAGUGAAGCGGCAAAAGCUCAAAUUUGAAAUCUGGCACCUUCGGUGUCCGAGUUGUAAUUUGAAGAAGGUAACUUUGGAGUUGGCUCUUGUCUAUGUUCCUUGGAACAGGACGUCACAGAGGGUGAGAAUCCCGUGCGAUGAGAUGCCCAAUUCUAUGUAAAGUGCUUUCGAAGAGUCGAGUUGUUUGGGAAUGCAGCUCUAAGUGGGUGGUAAAUUCCAUCUAAAGCUAAAUAUUGGCGAGAGACCGAUAGCGAACAAGUACAGUGAUGGAAAGAUGAAAAGAACUUUGAAAAGAGAGUGAAAAAGUACGUGAAAUUGUUGAAAGGGAAGGGCUUGAGAUCAGACUUGGUAUUUUGCGAUCCUUUCCUUCUUGGUUGGGUUCCUCGCAGCUUACUGGGCCAGCAUCGGUUUGGAUGGUAGGAUAAUGACUAAGGAAUGUGGCUCUACUUCGGUGGAGUGUUAUAGCCUUGGUUGAUACUGCCUGUCUAGACCGAGGACUGCGUCUUUUGACUAGGAUGUUGGCAUAAUGAUCUUAAG